RNAcentral lists this ribosomal RNA (253 nucleotides) under uncultured bacterium. Its description in RNAcentral is "partial 16S ribosomal RNA". It matches the Rfam family "Bacterial small subunit ribosomal RNA", at positions 524 to 776 of the family's 1533-position model. The record is from RNAcentral.
CACGGGGGGAGCAAGCGUUGUUCGGAAUCACUGGGCGUAAAGGGCGUGUAGGCGGUCAGGUAAGUGGGAUGUGAAAUGCCCCGGCUCACCCGGGGACCGGCAUCCCAUACUGCUUGGCUUGAAUUCGGGAGAGGGAUGUGGAAUUCCAGGUGUAGCGGUGAAAUGCGUAGAUAUUUGGAGGAACACCGGUGGCGAAGGCGGCAUCCUGGACCGACAUUGACGCUGAGGCGCGAAAGCCAGGGGAGCAAACGGG